AAGGCUCAGUAUGCAGGAAACUUGUUCAGAGGGAAACCGCGUUUAGCAGAGCGAGAUGUGCCUUGGUCCUUGGAAGCCAGGGAGCAGCAGGGGAUCUCGCCGCGUGCUGGGGUCGCGCCCACCUCGGGGGGGGGGGGGGGGGCCUGCCGGGACACUGGGCUGCGCUGUUGUAGGAAGAAGGAGGGAAACUGGGCAAAGGUUUCAGGGCCUCUGAGUAACGGGGUGCACUCAGGAGACCCCGAGGCCAGCGCGGGCCUUGCAUCGCCCUCACCUGUUGGGGUGAGGCCUUGGUCGGGGCAGGUGUGCUCCCCCCGUGCUGGGGCCGGCGCCGGGUCACGACCCCCGGUCCCCGACCUGCCGAGCGCCCGCCUCCUCCUGCGGCUGCCCUGGCCUCUGGGCGCCGCGCCCAGGGCUCGUCCCCAGUACCCGCGGUCCCUCUGGGGGCCGGGCCCCUGCCCUCGGGCCCCUCGUGUGCGCCCCCCCCCCAGGGCCCAUCCCCGCACGUGCACCUGCCGCCUGGUGGCUCCCCGCGCAUCCGCCCCGGCAGGUGUGGGCGCCGCGCCAGGUGACCCGCCGCAGCCGCAGCCGCCCCGCGGGAGGCCCCGAGGCCCAGAGGCCCAGGACCCGCGCCCGGGGACUGGAGGUCGCCGUGGGCUCAGGGCCCCGCACAGCGGCCGCGGACACGUGGGGCCCGACCCGCCGCCCUGCCUGCCGCCCGCCCCAGCCCCGCGGGCCGCCUGUGGAUGGAGGGCGCAGGCCCGGGGCCAGGGUCGCGGCCGAGCAGGACCGAGCAGAGGAUGCGUUGGGGGAGACGGUGCGGGGCGAGGCCCCGCGGAGAGAAGCCUGCUGACCCGCAGGGGGGGCGCGGGGCGGGGCGGCUCUGCUGCAGGUGGACUGGUUAGAGGGAGGCCGGGAGGGGGAGGGAGAGAGGGAAGGGGAAGGAGGGAGGGAGGAGAAAGGGCACUGAGAGAGGGAGGGAGGGAGGGAGGGAGGGGGAGAGAGGGGGAGAGGGAGGGGGGAGAGACAGAGGGGUAG
RNAcentral lists this long non-coding RNA (1035 nucleotides) under Canis lupus familiaris (dog). RNAcentral's name for it is "lncRNA (ENSCAFG00040009409.1)". The record is from RNAcentral. Lineage: Eukaryota; Metazoa; Chordata; Mammalia; Carnivora; Canidae.